This 265-nucleotide ribosomal RNA is filed under the name unidentified marine bacterioplankton. RNAcentral describes it as "partial 16S ribosomal RNA". It matches the Rfam family "Bacterial small subunit ribosomal RNA", at positions 71 to 339 of the family's 1533-position model. RNAcentral also lists the same sequence under 1 other name. The record is from RNAcentral.
AUAGAGAGCUUGCUUUCUUGAUUAGUGGCGCACGGGUGAGUAAUAUAUAGAUAACGUGCCUCUUAGUCUGGGAUAGCCAUUGGAAACGAUGAUUAAUACCGGAUACUUCUUCUGAUUAAAAUUUCAGUCGGGAAAGUUUUUCGCUAAGAGAUCGGUCUAUAUUCCAUCAGCUAGUUGGGGAGGUAAUGGCUCACCAAGGCAAUGACGGAUAGCGGGUUUGAGAGGAUGAUCCGCCACACUGGUACUGAGACACGGACCAGACUCC